Molecule: long non-coding RNA, 1173 nt
Filed under: Parus major (Great Tit)
Lineage: Eukaryota; Metazoa; Chordata; Aves; Passeriformes; Paridae
Description: lncRNA (ENSPMJG00000009091.1)
Source: RNAcentral
CGAAGGGCUCGGAGCGAGCCCCAGCGCCAGCGAGCAGCGCAUCCCCGGCUGUGCCGGGAGCUCGGGAGCAGCUGGGGAGGUUUGUGGGGAUGUGGAUGGCCACGGGAUGGCGUCUCCUGGCUUGCAAAGCUCAGGACGGUGCUUGGUGAGCAGCGCUAACACUGCCUGAAGUGCUCUGACCUGCACUGACCCUGCAGCUUCUGCUGCUAGAAACUUCUAAUGGUUUUUUUUCCCUUUUCGCUUACAAAGUAAGCUCUUCCUUUCAAAGUCAACACUAACUUACCAGAGUGAGGGUUUGCACUUCUUCGUGCUACUAACCUUGAAGCUGAUUUAAAAAAAGGUUCUCUGUGUCUGUAAGGAUAACACAACCCUGUGCUAGAGGGGACUUGGAUCAAAUUUACUGACAACCUGAAAUGAAUGAAUAGGCCCUGCUCACAGCAAGAGAGUUUUCCUAGGAGUGCAUUGCACAUUGGCUGUUUUCCCAGCCCCAUGGAGCCUUUCAGGAGCCUGCUGUGGCACGUUUUGGUUGGAUUUAGGGGAUUGCAGUGUACAAGCCGGGGUUUUUCCCAAGUGCUGAUGCUGCAGUGUUCCCAUCAGACCGCACGCAGGAAGCAUCUUCAUGUUAUUUCUCUGAGUGGGCACACACAGCCCCAGAUCUUGGAGAAUGUACAGCAGCUUCAGCUCUGUAACCUGCAGCACACAGGGAAUGUCUGCCUGCAUGGAGAGAGCCCUGCUCUGGUGCCCUGUCCAGCUAACCUCAUGUGGCAGCCACUGGAAGUGUGCUCUGAGGAACUGGCCCAGAGGAAGCGACUCUGCACUCGUGGCUCAUCAGCCCUGGCAGGAAACAGCAGGUCAAAGUUAGAAGGAACUUACUCAAAAGCUAAUGAGUGAGUGGUGCAGCAAGCACUGCAAGAAAGCAGGGCUUGACUGUCAGUGGAGGAUCUUGGGGUUCUCUGUUUUUAUUCCACUUUCUCUCUUCUUGUUCACUUCUGUUUAACCAGAGAUGCCAAGGGGAUGAUCCCUCAGAUGAGAAUUUGUAGGUGAGACUGUGCCCUCUCCUGAUCUGAGCACAACUACCUCUGGAAAAUGGGGCUGGUGCAGGAAACACACUGUUUAAUCUUCCUCAGUAUGUUUUUAUGAAAUAAAAUUAAAUCCUCAUGACUCUGUAUCUCA